AGGAUUCUUCGGAAUCUUGAGAGCGGCGUACGGGUGCGGAACACGUGUGCAACCUACCUUUAUCUGGAGGAUAGCCUUUCGAAAGGAAGAUUAAUACUCCAUAAUAUAUUGAUUGGCAUCAAUUGAUAUUGAAAGCUCCGGCGGAUAGAGAUGGGCACGCGCAAGAUUAGUUAGUUGGUGAGGUAACGGCUCACCAAGACGAUGAUCUUUAGGGGCCUGAGAGGGUGAUCCCCCACACUGGUACUGAGACACGGACCAGACUCCUACGGGAGGCAGCAGUGAGGAAUAUUGGUCAAUGGGUGCAAGCCUGAACCAGCCAUCCCGCGUGAAGGACGACUGCCCUAUGGGUUGUAAACUUCUUUUGUAUAGGGAUAAACCUACCCUCGUGAGGGUAGCUGAAGGUACUAUACGAAUAAGCACCGGCUAACUCCGUG
Molecule: ribosomal RNA, 434 nt
Filed under: uncultured bacterium
Lineage: Bacteria
Description: bacterial SSU rRNA
Rfam family: Bacterial small subunit ribosomal RNA
Source: RNAcentral